This 22-nucleotide transfer RNA is filed under the name Hylomyscus anselli (Ansell's wood mouse). RNAcentral's name for it is "partial tRNA-Phe". The record is from RNAcentral. Lineage: Eukaryota; Metazoa; Chordata; Mammalia; Rodentia; Muridae.
AUGGAUAUUUUAAUCCCAUAAA